RNAcentral lists this unclassified non-coding RNA (762 nucleotides) under Corynebacterium amycolatum. Its description in RNAcentral is "partial miscellaneous RNA". The stretch from base 486 to 762 matches the Rfam family "Bacterial large subunit ribosomal RNA", at positions 1 to 275 of the family's 2925-position model. The record is from RNAcentral. Lineage: Bacteria; Bacillati; Actinomycetota; Actinomycetes; Mycobacteriales; Corynebacteriaceae.
CCUAAACUCGUUAGGGAGCUGUCGAAGGUGGGAUUGGCGAUUGGGACGAAGUCGUAACAAGGUAGCCGUACCGGAAGGUGCGGCUGGAUCACCUCCUUUCUAAGGAGAUUAUUUUUUCUUUGUGUCAUGUGUCAUCGUGUUGGUGGCGUGUGGCUUUUUUGUUUUUUGGGUGGAACACCUGCUGGUCAGGCUGCUGAAGUGAUGGUGGUCUGCGCGUGUGUAAGUGAUGAUUAAACGUUUAAGGUGCUUUCCUUUUUUGUGUUGGUUGGUUGUUGGUGCGCUGUUGGGUGUCUGGGAUGACACACGUGUUGUUGUUCCUGUUGUACAGGUUGCUGCGUGCUGCAGGCGGGCUGCUGUGUGGUGGUUUGUUCUGUGGUGUGUGGGUGUUGUGUGAGAACUGGAUAGUGGACGCGAGCAUCUUGUUUUUCUGUAAGUUCGAUUUUGUCAAGCAGUUUUUCUGUUUGUGAUUGUUCUUGAGUAUUUGUGUGUUGUGUUGUAAGGGCGCAUGGUGGAUGCCUUGGCAUAGUAGGCCGAUGAAGGACGUGAGAGGCUGCGAUAGGCCUCGGGGAGCUGCCAACUAAGCGUUGAUCCGAGGGUGUCCGAAUGGGGAAACCUGGCCGUCGUUGUGGGCGGUCGCCGUUAGAUGAAUUCAUAGUCUAAUUGGUGGUUACGCGGGGAAGUGAAACAUCUCAGUACCCGUAGGAGUAGAAAACAAUUGUGAUUCCGUUAGUAGUGGCGAACGAACGUGGAUGAGGCUAAACC